This 468-nucleotide ribosomal RNA is filed under the name uncultured bacterium. RNAcentral describes it as "partial 16S ribosomal RNA". It matches the Rfam family "Bacterial small subunit ribosomal RNA", at positions 28 to 507 of the family's 1533-position model. The record is from RNAcentral.
GACGAACGCUGGCGGCGUGCUUAACACAUGCAAGUCGAACGGAAAGGCCCUGCUUUUGUGGGGUGCUCGAUUGGCGAACGGGUGAGUAACACGUGAGUAACCUGCACUUGACUUUGGGAUAACUUCAGGAAACUGGGGCUAAUACCGGAUAGGAGCUCCUGCUGCAUGGUGGGGGAUGGAAAGUUCCGGCGGUUGGGGAUGGACUGGCGGCUUAUCAGCUUGUUGGUGGGGUAGUGGCGUACCAAGGCUUUGACGGGUAGCCGGCAUGAGAGGUUGGACGGCCACAAUGGGACUGAGAUACGGCGCAGACUCCUACGUGAGGCAGUAGGGGGGAAUAUUGCACAAUGGGCGGACGCCUGAUGCAGCAACGCCGCGUGCGGGAUGACGGCCUUCGGGUUGUAAACCGCUUUCGCCUGUGACGAAGCGUGAGUGACGGUAAUGGGUAAAGAAGCACCGGCUAACUACGUG